RNAcentral lists this long non-coding RNA (2455 nucleotides) under Elaeis guineensis (African oil palm). RNAcentral's name for it is "long non-coding RNA (EGUI_LNC019256)". The record is from RNAcentral. Lineage: Eukaryota; Viridiplantae; Streptophyta; Magnoliopsida; Arecales; Arecaceae.
AUUACAAUUAACAUUCCUUCAAUCUUCUGAUUAGGUAUCAACGGUACUCUAUCUAUGCAUCCGCUCACUCACAAAUCCAUACCAUAACCAACCAUGGACAUCUUGUAACUCUGAGAAAAAAAGAAAGAUAAAAGGGUGUGAGCUUUACAACCCAGUAAGAAUUCUCAUAUCACAUCAAUAUAAUAAUAUAAUCUGAAAAUAAAGAUAAGCAAUAACACAUAAAAGCCGAUAUUCAAUGUCCAGAAUAUUGUAAAUAUUUAUAGAUUAUCUGUUUUAAAAAGAGAUGUAUUAUCAUAUGUUAAUAAGUGAAACAAUUUUAUUCAACGAUUGUUUCAUGUCUUAUCUUUCUAUAUUCUUUUAUUAUCACAUCUUCUUUAAUUCUUUUCUUUUUGGCUUUGGCUUUGGCUUUGACUUUGGACUACCAGGAUCAUGCGACGAUCUUUUAUUCGGAUCGAUUUCUAUGAUCUUCCUUAGAUCGAAAUAUUCAUGAUCUUUCUCAAAUCAAAAUGGCCAUGAUCUUUCUCGAAUCAAAUUAUUCAUGAUCUUUCUCGGAUCAGAUUCUUCCACACAUAAGCUUGUGGGGGCUGUCCCAAGCAUAAGCUUCUGGCAAGCUAUUCCACAUGACAAGGUCAGUCCAAACCAUAUUUCUUUUUCUUUUUAUUUUCAUGAAAUUAUAAUAUUUUACUUCAUUAAUCAAUUCAAAUUUUGCAAUGUAAUAAAUAUGUCAUACCCAUAUAAUCAUGCCAUCAAUCACUGAUACAUAUGUUUUGAUAUAACAUACUUCAUGCUCAAAAUCACAUAAAUAAUAUAACAGUGUCUCAGAUAUAACAAUUUCAUAGAUCUCAAAUUCAACGAUGCAAAAUCAAUGAAAUAAACCAACGAUAAAAUAACAUAUAUAAUGAUGAUCAUGUACAGAGAUUCUUACCUUUACCGGUGACUGAUCCAAGCAUAGAAAUCAAUGUUCUUCUUUGAUUUAUGAAUUUCUUUAACAAAAUAUUUCACUCGAUAUCAUAUGCAGACAAUCAUCUCUUCAUGACCCUGAUCAAUAUAAAAAUCACAUAUAGAGAAAUUACUGAUAAUCGAUUCUAAUAACACAGAUCGAGAACCUCUCUUAGGAUUAAUCAAAAUUAGGAUUUGUCUAAGUAUCUGGAUCCUCCACUGAUCCAUAAGACUUCUAGAGAGAAAAAAUUCAUAAAGAGAGAGAAAAUACUAGAGAGAGAAAGUAGAGAGAGAAAAUGAAGAGAAAAUCCUCAUAUCCUUCAGAUGAGGCAAUCAUGGUCGAGAUCAUCAGAGGUCCUAUCAAGGUGACUUAAUAUGAAUCAUGUGUUAUAAAUUUUGAAUAGGAUCGAAUUGGGAUCAGAUCUACCGCACGAAUUUCGGAGCAAUCUCAAAUCAUUUUAUUUUCAUCUCAAGUUUAUUCUAGGAUCUGUGAUGCAGUUAGAGAGAGAAAAACUCUAGAGAGAUAAAAUUCAUAAAGAGAGAAAAAAGUCUAGAGAGAGAAUCUAGAGAGAGAAUCUAGAGAGAGAAACUGAAGAGAGAAGGUAGAGAGAGGAAAGAGGAAGAAAAGAGGGAGAGGAGAGAGAGAAAAUUCUCUCUCUUCUUCUUCUAUUUUUUUUCUAUUUUUGUUUCCUUUAUUUUUAUUUUUUCUUUGUUCUUUGUUCUUUUUUUUUUCUUUUUUUCUUUUUCCUUUUUUUUUCUUUUUCUUUUUCUUCUUUUUUUUCUUUCUCUUUCUUUCCUGUUUUCUUCUUCCUUUCCUCUUCCUUGGCCGAACAGUGGGAGAACCAGAGGGAAAGAGACUCGAUGGCACGAGCUCCGACGAGGGGCGACGAUGUCUAAUCGACGGCAACAGAGCAAGGAGAGGUGGCGACGAGGUUCGACCGACGAGAAUCUUAGAGAAAAUCAGAAAAAAAAAUAGGGGAUCCACUCCUUACCUCUUGUUUUCCGAUCAUUGGUCGGUUGCCGACAACCAAGACCCAUAGGGAAGGAAGAGAAAGAGAUGGGGGUCCGAUCUCGGGGAGAGACACCAUAACCGACGGUGUCGGUGGCCGAAAAGAGAGGAAAAGAACUCAUUCAAAAUAGAGAAAACAAGGCAUCUAUCUUUUGUGGAUUUUUCGGCAAAUCUGACGGCCGACGGGGAUGCACAGCACCGUGGAAAGGAGGAGAAGGAAAAGAGGAAGGAGGAGAAGAAUUUACCUCAUGCUUCAGCAGCAUCACUGACUCUAAUUUUUGGCAAGCAUGGGUACAGGAGGCCUCGACUUCAAUUGGAGAAAACAAGGAGAAAGAAAAGAGUGAGUGACCGGUGAUCAUCUUGGAUUGCUGAAGGAGGGAGAGAGGCGUCUUAUAGAGUGGAGGAGAGGUCGAAUCCCCCUCAGAUUCCAACUUCUCCUCCAGUGACUCAGGUGGAAGAAGACUCCCAACAGGAGUCUUCUUCGUUUCUUUCUUCUUUUUUUUAUUG